GCCUUCAUUGUGUAGUGGUUAGCACGCUCGGCGCGUAUUCGAGAGGUCCGUGGUUCGAAUCCCGGCGAGGGCA
Non-coding RNA from Stegodyphus mimosarum, 73 nucleotides. The record is from Rfam. Lineage: Eukaryota; Metazoa; Arthropoda; Arachnida; Araneae; Eresidae.